Molecule: long non-coding RNA, 982 nt
Organism: Phascolarctos cinereus (koala)
Lineage: Eukaryota; Metazoa; Chordata; Mammalia; Diprotodontia; Phascolarctidae
Source: Ensembl
GUGCUUGGGCAGCUCAAACCCUGACCCCAUCCGUGCUGUCUUUGGUUCUUCUCUUUGUUCCAGUAGCAGCACCCCCAGAAGCCCAGCCAGAGCCUCAGACAAAGGAAACGGAGCCCCCACCAGAGAGCUCUGCCCCAAUGCCAGCUCCUCCAAAGCCUGAGGAGCCCCCCACAAACCAGGACAGCCAGCCAGAUACCCUGGCUGCCUCCUGCCUCCCUCCUGCUGGAGAUCAUGCCAGGCUGAUGGGGUGGGUCAAGAGGAGACUGGAAAUGGUGAUUCCUCAGCCUGUUCCUUGCAAGAAGGUGGUGCAGGAGCUGGAAGCACCCACCGAGUGCACCGUGCAGAACAGGGUGGAGUCACUUGGAAGCCUCUGAAACAAACAGAGAAGGGGAGCCUGGUAGGACUGUUUCUGGGCUGACGGACCAAAUCCAGGUCUGGAGAAAAAUAUGCACUGAGGCAUGGUCAUAGGGGAGGUGGCGAAAACAGAAGUGACUUUAAGUUUUCUUUCUAUUUGAAAAUCAAAACUCCCACAACCAAGACGUCUAAAGAAAGCUGGCCAACACCAGGGCUUCUUUACUAGAGAUUGAGAUUUUUUUGGAGGCUUGCUCUUGGAGAAACCAUUGAACACUGAUUCUUAUAUUGAAAGGUUUUUCAUUUGGACAGUCCUGGCUUGCCAGUUCCAGGCUUUUCAAGAGUCAUUUGGAUAAUCCAAUUCCCAGAUCAGAAGUCAAAUCUCAGUUAGAACAUGACUUACCACAUGACCCCUGAGCAUGUUUUCUUCCUUCUUGGUGCCUGGAUGUCCCCAUCUGUAAAAUGGGGAGAAGUGUACUAUACUGCCUGGCAAGGGAUUAUGAGACGUCAGCAGCAAACAUCCUUGGAAAGACUUGAGCAGUGCUAACUGCUUUCUGAAUGACCCUCAGGCUCUGAAGAAUGAAUCCACUGCCUUUGCAAGAAAUCUCUCCUCCCUCCAGCUCCCUCCCCU